GACGAACGCUGGCGGCGCGCUUAACACAUGCAAGUCGAACGGAAAGGCCUGCGUUCCCUUGUGGAUUGCGGGUACUCGAGUGGCGAACGGGUGAGUAACACGUGAGUGAUCUUCCCCCAACUUGGGUAUAAGCCUGGGAAACUGGGUCUAAUUCCCGAUAGGACUGCAGGGUGGUGCCUGUGGUGGAAAACGAUUUUCUAGUGGUUGGGGAUGAGCUCGCGGCCUAUCAGCUGGUUGGUGGGGUAAUGGCCUACCAAGGCGGCGACGGGUAGCCGGCCUGAGAGGGUGGACGGGCAAAUUGGGACUGAGAUACGGCGCAGACGGCUACGGGAGGCAGCAGUGGGGAAUAAUGCACAAUGGGCGGAAGCCUGAUGCAGCGACGCCGCGUGGGGGAUGACGGCCUUCGGGUUGUAAACUCCUUUCGACCGAGAGGAAGCCACCUGGUUGGAAGGGUGGUGACGGUAGUGGUAGAAGAAGCACCGGCUAACUACGUG
Molecule: ribosomal RNA, 494 nt
Filed under: uncultured bacterium
Lineage: Bacteria
Description: partial 16S ribosomal RNA
Rfam family: Bacterial small subunit ribosomal RNA
Source: RNAcentral